CUCUCCACGGCUCCUAAACAACAGAUACCCGACGGCGAGCCCCACGAUAAUGGCGACGAAGACGCCGCCGUUGAAGGACAUCACGGCGAGCAUGAGGAGGUACCCGAUGCCCGAGUUGAGGCCAAAGAGGACGGCGGAAGCGAGCCUCGCUGGAGCCCACGGCCGGCCGGCGGCAACGGAGAGGAGGAGGGGGGUUUCCACGGACAGCGGUGAUGACGGCUUGGAUCGGGCGAAAAUCUUGAGGCGGAUCCGACGGUCCUCCAUGUACUGGUAGAAGGCGGCGGCGAGGAAGAGGG
RNAcentral lists this long non-coding RNA (296 nucleotides) under Phoenix dactylifera (date palm). RNAcentral's name for it is "long non-coding RNA (PDAC_LNC000973)". Lineage: Eukaryota; Viridiplantae; Streptophyta; Magnoliopsida; Arecales; Arecaceae. The record is from RNAcentral.